AGUGAACGCUGGCGGUAGGCCUAACACAUGCAAGUCGAACGGCAGCACAGUAAGAGCUUGCUCUUACGGGUGGCGAGUGGCGGACGGGUGAGGAAUACAUCGGAAUCUACUUUUUCGUGGGGGAUAACGUAGGGAAACUUACCCUAAUACCGCAUACGACCUACGGGUGAAAGCAGGGGAUCUUCGGACCUUGCGCGAUUGAAUGAGCCGAUGUCGGAUUAGCUAGUUGGCGGGGUAAAGGCCCACCAAGGCGACGAUCCGUAGCUGGUCUGAGAGGAUGAUCAGCCACACUGGAACUGAGACACGGUCCAGACUCCUACGGGAGGCAGCAGUGGGGAAUAUUGGACAAUGGGCGCAAGCCUGAUCCAGCCAUACCGCGUGGGUGAAGAAGGCCUUCGGGUUGUAAAGCCCUUUUGUUGGGAAAGAAAAGCAGCAGGUUAAUACCCCGCUGUUCUGACGGUACCCAAAGAAUAAGCACCGGCUAACUUCGUG
Molecule: ribosomal RNA, 492 nt
Filed under: uncultured bacterium
Lineage: Bacteria
Description: partial 16S ribosomal RNA
Rfam family: Bacterial small subunit ribosomal RNA
Source: RNAcentral